GCCAGCCUGGCGGAAUGGUAGACGCAUCAGACUCAAAAUCUGACGGUAGCAAUACUGUGAGGGUUCAAGUCCCUUGGCUGGUACCA
Molecule: transfer RNA, 86 nt
Filed under: Bacilli bacterium
Lineage: Bacteria; Bacillati; Bacillota; Bacilli
Description: tRNA-Leu
Rfam family: tRNA
About the family: Transfer RNA (tRNA) molecules are approximately 80 nucleotides in length.
Source: RNAcentral